This 121-nucleotide ribosomal RNA is filed under the name Nannospalax galili (Upper Galilee mountains blind mole rat). The record is from RNAcentral. Lineage: Eukaryota; Metazoa; Chordata; Mammalia; Rodentia; Spalacidae.
AUGUAUAGCCAUACCACCCUGAAUAUGCUUGAUCUUGUUUGAUCUCAGAAGCUAAGCAGAGUUGGGCCUGGUUAGCACUUGAAUGAGAGAAACACUCUGAAAUUUUAUGCUCCUUUUCUUU